CAGCUUGCCCAUUUCAGUGAUGAUCUCUCUCUGUGCAGCAUCUAUCACUCCACUGCACAGUAAUUUGCCUCCAGCUGGCAUUGCAGUGCAGCAACAGGAAUAUACACAUGCAUCAGUUCUUUGCUGAACAGGGAUUGAGCCAAGACCAAACUCCCAUAAAUGGGAGUUUUUCUGUCCAGUUCCUCUUGCCAGCACCAAGACAGCCCUGCUUCAAUUUGUUACAAUAUAUUUGGCCGCUUUCAUUCCCCUGGUGCCUCCAGUAGACACAGAAAUAGGAAAUAACUGAUUAGAAAGCACCAUGGAGAAGAGCCCUUCUUUACGCUGGGAUGCAAUAAUCUACAGGAUCAUUGCUUCUGUUGGAGAGCUUCUGAGACUUUCAUUUGGCCCACACAUCUUCAGUAGCUGAUCAUUUCCUUUACACAAACUACUGGCAUGAAACAAAGUGUGGCACUGACCUCAGUGCUGUAACAUUACUUAAGUGAAAAGAAAAAUUCAAAGCUACAGAGAGAAGGAGUCAAGGAGGCACCAGCUGUUGAAAGAAAAAGGGAUAACAGGCUAGUGAAGCUGUUGUCCUUUAAAUGUGAAAGACUUGUAGCACUGCAAACAACCACAGGAAAACCCGAAUCUGAGAGCCCCUACCUACCAAGGGAGCCAAGCAGAUGGAGGUCAUGGAGUCACACCCAGGCACGGCAGAAAAAACUGUUUUUUGCUGCAGCAGAGAUCUCCUGGCUCCUUCCCCAGCCUUUCAGAGCUGAGGACACAGAAAAAUCACCAUAAUCACCCCUCAUCCAUCCCUGCUGUCCUUCCUCUGCCUCUCCUCCUCCUCCUCCAACCUCUUCAUGCCUGGUUCAGGCAGGCAGCACCCAGAGCCUGAGUGUCAGUCCUGUUUCUCCAGCUCUUUGUUAACCUCUGUGUUUCACUUGGAGGGGAAAAAAAAAAUUAAAUAGAUUCCUUUGUGAAAUCUCUAGGAAAUAUUUGGCACUCACCGAGUCCCUUGCACUCGGUGUUUGUUUCUUCCUAAAGAGAGUAGUGACGCUGCUAUGACUUUUCUGCAAGCUGGAAGCAAAUGCUUAUCACCAUUCCCAGAAGGGGAAAAUAAAUUCCUUAGUAGCUUUGGGAGGUUUUAAGAAAUAAUUUUCCAAAAAGCUCAACUGAUUAACAGUGGUGCAAAGCUGGAAACCACAGACCAGGGCCCAGUUCGGGCCUGUGAAGGCCUCUGUGUAGCAGGGCUCAAUCUUAUCACCUGUCACCACCAUCUUAUCCUGUCACCACCUUCUUUCAACAGGCCACAUCUUCCCUAUCCUCCCUUCUACCCCAAAAAGGAAAUAAAAAUGUACAGUCCUUUCACUUUUGCUUAACUGCAGUAAAAUGGCCCUGCAAGUACCUGAAAGCCCCUUCACCCUACUGUAAAAGAGCUCUCAGCAAAAUGCAGGAAGUGGCUGGAUGAAGCCAUUAGCCAAGGAACACAGUGAGCAGGAAUCAAUAAGUCCGUGCCUCAAUCAUGAUGAACACAAUUUGCCUCAAAGGAACCACAGGACUAACUGUCCAUUGCACUGAGAGCACAGUGGUGCUCUGUGUCUCUGCACCUGCCUGCUGUAGUGAAACCCAGGCUGUGCAAGCCUGGUGUGGUGGCAGUAACUGGAACAGCACUGGGCCCUGGGGGGCAGUUUCAAAGCAGAAACUUGUUGCAGCAAAUGUAGGGACAUGACCAAAUUACUGCCUGGUUUUAUUCUCUUGUUUGUUGCUCUCUGGAAAUUCAUUCUCCGAGGACAAAGCUGACGUGUCAAACAGCGUGGGAGGGUGUGAAAAUUCAAAGUCUGGUUCAAAAGUGGCUGAAGUCUCCCUGUGACACUGGGAAAUGUAAUGCUGUGUCCAUAAUAUGCAGCACCACAUUUAUUUCUGAAGUUAACAGACACCCUUAGCCCGAGGCUGGAAAUUCACAUCUCCUGAACAUUUGGGGAAGGAUUUGCAGAGCUAAAACUUGAGGCAAGAGCACAUAAAAUUUGAUAACUUGCUGUUUAUUACUUCUGGUCAGCAUUCAAAAGAGACAAUAACAAAUAGUUUCAGAACAAAACAGUGAAUGCCUGUAAAAUAUAUUAAUAUUAUAAACACAGUAAAUAAAUAUUUAGAAUGCUGCAAGCAAUUCCAGGACACAAAGAAGCAGUAAACCACUGGGGUUGCUGAAGUCUCUCAUCAGACUGCUCUGAUCAGUUGCUCUGAACUUCAAAUAAGCCUGAAAAUAAUCAUCUUCAUGUUCUGCCAGAUGCAAAUAAACUGUCCUCUGAUUUCUGGUCAGCACCCAGAACACUAAGU
Molecule: long non-coding RNA, 2313 nt
Organism: Passer domesticus (house sparrow)
Lineage: Eukaryota; Metazoa; Chordata; Aves; Passeriformes; Passeridae
Exons: 4
Source: RefSeq, a predicted model, not a curated record